Molecule: long non-coding RNA, 319 nt
Filed under: Ananas comosus (pineapple)
Lineage: Eukaryota; Viridiplantae; Streptophyta; Magnoliopsida; Poales; Bromeliaceae
Description: long non-coding RNA (ACOM_LNC019458)
Source: RNAcentral
GAAAAAUAGGACUACAAUACACAACUCCUCUUGUGUCUUUACCUUUACUUUAGCCUUAGCCAACCCUCCUACUUAUAGGCUCCUAGAUAUAAUGAAUCUAGCCUACACGAACUCACCACUAAGCACAUAUUAAAACACACAUUAACUCACUCACUAUCACAUACUAAUGAGUUCUCAUGAAUCCCUAAUGAAUGCAAGGUGAUCCCAAGGGUUGCCCAUGACUCUUAAAUUUUCGCUAGUAGUUUUGGAGUUAAUAAAUCUAGCAGUUAUAUGGCGGAGGGCUGCGAAGGCAGUGGCAGAGGAAGAGGAUGGGGCGCUG